GGUGGCUCAGUGGUAGAGCACUUGCCUAGCAUGCAUGAAGCCCUGGGUUCAAUUCCUCAGCACCA
RNAcentral lists this transfer RNA (65 nucleotides) under Dipodomys ordii (Ord's kangaroo rat). It matches the Rfam family "tRNA". Rfam says of the family: Transfer RNA (tRNA) molecules are approximately 80 nucleotides in length. Lineage: Eukaryota; Metazoa; Chordata; Mammalia; Rodentia; Heteromyidae. The record is from Rfam by way of RNAcentral.